Capsicum annuum is the source of this 3556-nucleotide RNA transcript. It is a transcript of the gene named transcription factor BEE 2, with no coding region annotated. The record is from RefSeq and is a predicted model, not a curated record. Lineage: Eukaryota; Viridiplantae; Streptophyta; Magnoliopsida; Solanales; Solanaceae. The transcript has 3 exons.
AAUUUGUUCUUAAAGAAUUUAUCAUGACCAAUCAAAUAUCACCACAUAAAUUGAAACGGAUAGACAUAUCAAAAAGCUAAGAUAUAAUAGAUGUCAAUGACAUCUUGUGGUGAUUUUAGACAGUGUCAGUGAAGGAUAUAAUACGGAAAAUUUUCUUCUUUUCAAAUUGGAAUGCUGUUUGAAAAAUCGCACAUGAGAAAAGUUAUGGUGGAGAAUAAUCUUUUUGUGUUGUUUCACAAGGCUGAGAAUCAUAUAUGAUUUUUUUUAAAAGGAUGGAUUGAUUUUUGCCACAGAAUCUACAGAAUGAGGCUGGAAGAAAAGAAAGUUGUGUUUCUUCUCUUAGCCAGCUCCUUUAUACAUAUAUACCCUUCCAUUUUAUUACUUAUGAGGAUAUCUAAAACUCACACAAAAUCAACAUCUUCAUCAAGUUGAUUUUUUCUCUCUUACUUUUAAAAUCUUCUCAUUAUCAUUCUUUAUUUAACUUAAGUGGUGGUGGUACUAAUGGCAUCCAGGAGAAUUCUUAAGGAGCUAAGAGAUUUGCAAAGAGACCCUCCAACUUCAUGCAGUGCAGGUCCAGUAGCUCAAGAUAUGUUUCAUUGGCAAGCAACUAUAAUUGGUCCAAAUGACAGCCCUUAUGCUGGAGGUGUUUUCUAAGUCACCAUCUAUUUCCCCCCUGAUUACCCUUUCAAACCUCCCAAGGUAUGACUUUUAAUAUCAUAAGCCCUAACCCCCCAACACCUUAAAAAGGAAAGAAAAAAAGAGGAAAUAACAAAGUACUAGUGAUAUUAAGUUCCACAUAUAUUGACAAGUGGCUUUCCAUAAAUAAUAAUGGAAAUAUUUGUUUGGACAUUCUUAAGGAUCAAUGGAUUUCAAAAAUAUUAUAUUCAUGAACAACUUGGUAAGUCAUAAAUGCAAAGAUUGAAUUGCAUUGCAGAAAUCAUUAUACUAAAGCUUUUUCCUCAAAUCUUCAAAUAUUCACUCCUCAACGAGACCUCAAAUCUCAAUAUCAAGAUUCUUAGACAAAUCGGUAACCUUAUUCCUUGUAUAAGAACUCUAUAACUUUAUCUUGAAAAAAUUAUUGAAGCAAAACCAAAGGUUCACAUACGGACAUGAAGGUUCACGUGAACAGAAUAAUUAAACACAACACCAAAAUACACUCCUACCUAUGGACAUGAAGAUAUUUGUCCUCAUAAUCUUUUAAGCCUAAGAAGCAUCUUGCUACACUUGAUAAUAAAGAAAAAGUUGAAGUUAUAAUUCACAAGAAAUUAUGAAUACCAGAAAACAACACAAGAAAAACUUCCAAUCUGAUCAAGAAAAAUUGCAGCACACCAACUCAAAAAUAACAUAAAAUUAGAGAAAUUUUUUACAACCGAUUCAAUUGAAAAAAAAAGUAAGGAGAACUUUACUUACUGCUGUGGGAGAAACCAUUGAAGGAGAAUCAAAGAGCCCCAUAAAUUAUUCCGGUAUUAUUCCUUCUUUCAUUAUCAUAUAUGUCUUCAAAGCACUCAUUAUCUGAUUGUAAGAAUUCAUCAUUUGAGCAAAAUUUUCUCGACAUUGGAACGAACAAGAACCUCCACUACUUGAAGCACUUGUACCACCAAAACAAGGUUUAUCUUGUUUGAAAACUCUACUAGGAACAACUCCUAAUCCUAAGCAUCUCACCCUUCCAGAGUGCUCUGGCCUAGCGCCUUACCAACGACAUCGUUUGGCGAAACUUGAGACUCAUCUAUGGCGCUUCGGCUCAAAGCUGACUCAAUUUUUUUCCUACAUAUAGAAAAUUUGUUGUCAAAAUAAAUUAAAAAUAGAAAUUUAUUUGGCAUACCAUGGUUGAUUACUCGACAAGAGUGUAUGGCACAUAAGUAUAACUCACACAUAUUUGUUUUGCCGCUUCAUUAAUAUAUACUCCAUCUUGAUUCUUAUGAGUAGCAAUGUACAUUUGUGCUAGCCUAGACCAUUGUCCAGUCUCGGCCAUUUAUAAAUAUAAAAACAUAAUCAAAAUAAUUUACUAGUUAGGAAUAAUUAUAUUCGAGGUUAAUUCACUCACCAUUUUAGCCCUUCUUGUAGCAUUGGCUUUAGAGCCACCAGUGUGUGGAAUUAUCUGUUUCUUUUGAUUUUCACGGUUCCUUUGACGCAUGUUCUUACAAAAUAUAUUUAUACCUUAAUUAGAAAAAAAUAAUUAUACAACUAUAAAGAAAUUCAUAUACAUAAAUACCUUUGUUGAUUCUUUAAAAUUGUAUUCAAUAAAAAAAUCCAUUGAUCCGGUGGGAUCCCAUCCGACAGCUUAUCCAUAAUCUAAGCUUUACUUUUAAGUGGAUCAUCAACUUUAUUCCACGUGUUAAUCUUAUUUGUAGCCACUUUUUUCCAAUAGAUAAAGAAACAUGUCAUUGAGCAAUUGAUUCGGCUGUCUCAAAGAAGAAUUUGGGUUUCACAAAAUGAAAAUAUUGGUUAGCUUUUCUACUACAUGUAAAUAAAAAAUACAAAGAUAAAAUUAAUCAGUGGGUCAUUGCUACCAGUUGCUAGUAAUUGGACUACUAACACUAGCAAUUUUCUUGAUUAAGCCAUCUUCUUCCUCCCAAAUUAUUAGGCGCUUCUCAUACAAUGUAAGUAACUGAAAUUCUCUAGUUAAUUUAAGUUUAAUUAGCUAAAGGUACAAGUGUCUAACAAGUGAUUUUUAUUUUGAUUUAAUUGUUUUUUCAGAUAAAAAAGAAGAACGUUACACAUUUGUGUCACACAAAAAGACUGCUAACAGUCAACAACAAGUAUCCAAGACCUACAAUUUUUGUUCAUGAAGGUGACAAUAUGGAGGUCAAGGUUACUAACAAGUUCCCCUGGAACACUUCUAUCCACUGAAAAUGCAUCAAAUCAAUUCUCAGAUUUGUCGCAGCACUGGACAAAUAUAUACUGUAUAUGCAAAGAAAAAGACAAUUGGGACAGAUAAAGUGGCACAUACCCAAACAUUUGUAACAAACAAAUUCAUGUAUGGUAAAGUCAUAUAAGUUACAAAGCUGUUGGACAAUUGUAUGUAUGAGCAAAAUUACUCCAUAGUAAUCCCACCAAUAAUCUAGUAGGGAAUCCACUAAUUAAACCUACCACCUUACAACUAGCUUUGUUCAUUCUACUACAAGUCCACAACCCCUUGUACCCAUAUAAGAGUGGUUAAUGGCUACCUACAGCAACAAAAGUGCACACUACUACUUAUAGGUAAGUUGCACUUAAAUAUUUGCCGGGGAUCAGUUAACCUACUACUUAGUUGGUCAUGCCAGUCACUAUGAGCUUUGGUAGGUGAUUAAUCCCCUUGGCAAAUGGAAUUGGAAAACAGAUGUUGUUCCUAAUCCUGACGCUCCAUUGGCGCAAUGAAACUAAUAAUUUUCUAUUAAACGAGAUGUUGAAAUACCCAAGCUUGACGCAUCGUUUGGAGUAGAAAAUUGUGAAAUUUGCUUGGUUAUUACACUUGUAUAUAUCAUAUUAGCAGAAUAUUUUCAUGGGAUUUUGUAUGUUAGCAUUAGCCUAUUUGAUGCUUCUUAUGUAAUAAAAUAUGGGGCCUCAGUUAUCUUAA